Octopus sinensis (East Asian common octopus) is the source of this 150-nucleotide long non-coding RNA. RefSeq lists it as uncharacterized. The record is from RefSeq and is a predicted model, not a curated record. The transcript is spliced from 3 exons. Lineage: Eukaryota; Metazoa; Mollusca; Cephalopoda; Octopoda; Octopodidae.
AGAGAAAGAAAUCAACUAAUUCGCACAUUAUAAAUACAAUCAGUAAGUGGAACAGCAAAAAUAUGCAAGACUUUUCUCAGGUUCAAAAUAUGAAUUUGUUUUUGUUAACUACAUUCCAAAAUGGAGCUUUGUGUCUUGUAUUAAAAAUCA